Molecule: ribosomal RNA, 504 nt
Filed under: uncultured bacterium
Lineage: Bacteria
Description: partial 16S ribosomal RNA
Rfam family: Bacterial small subunit ribosomal RNA
Source: RNAcentral
AUUGAACGCUGGCGGCAGGCCUAACACAUGCAAGUCGAACGGUAGCACAGAGAGCUUGCUCUCGGGUGACGAGUGGCGGACGGGUGAGUAAUGUCUGGGAAACUGCCCGAUGGAGGGGGAUAACUACUGGAAACGGUAGCUAAUACCGCAUAACGUCGCAAGACCAAAGUGGGGGACCUUCGGGCCUCACACCAUCGGAUGUGCCCAGAUGGGAUUAGCUAGUAGGUGGGGUAAUGGCUCACCUAGGCGACGAUCCCGAGCUGGUCUGAGAGGAAGACCAGCCACACUGGCACUGGGACACGGUCCAGACUCCUACGGGAGGCAGCAGUGGGGAAUAUUGCACAAUGGGCGCAAGCCUGAUGCAGCCAUGCCGCGUGUAUGAAGAAGGCCUUCGGGUUGUAAAGUACUUUCAGCGGGGAGGAAGGCGGUGGAGUUAAUAACUUCACCGAUUGACGUUACCCGCAGAAGAAGCACCGGCUAACUCCGUGCCAGCAGCCGCCGUAA